RNAcentral lists this ribosomal RNA (468 nucleotides) under uncultured bacterium. RNAcentral's name for it is "partial 16S ribosomal RNA". It matches the Rfam family "Bacterial small subunit ribosomal RNA", at positions 28 to 507 of the family's 1533-position model. The record is from RNAcentral.
GACGAACGCUGGCGGCGUGCUUAACACAUGCCAGUCGAACGGAAAGGCCCUGCUUUUGUGGGGUGCUCGAGUGGCGAACGGGUGAGUAACACGUGAGUAACCUGCCCUUGACUUUGGGAUAACUUCAGGAAACUGGGGCUAAUACCGGAUAGGAGCUCCUGCUGCAUGGUGGGGGUUGGAAAGUUUCGGCGGUUGGGGAUGGACUCGCGGCUUAUCAGCUUGUUGGUGGGGUAGUGGCUUACCAAGGCUUUGACGGGUAGCCGGCCUGAGAGGGUGACCGGCCACAUUGGGACUGAGAGACGGCCCAGACGCCUACGGGAGGCAGCAGUGGGGAAUAUUGCACAAUGGGCGGAAGCCUGAUGCAGCAACGCCGCGUGCGGGAUGACGGCCUUCGGGUUGUAAACCGCUUUCGCCUGUGACGAAGCGUGAGUGACGGUAAUGGGUAAAGAAGCACCGGCUAACUACGUG